Molecule: small nuclear RNA, 160 nt
Filed under: Felis catus (domestic cat)
Lineage: Eukaryota; Metazoa; Chordata; Mammalia; Carnivora; Felidae
Description: U4 spliceosomal RNA (ENSFCAG00000036519.3)
Rfam family: U4 spliceosomal RNA (bases 1-76)
Source: RNAcentral
AGCUUUGCGCAGUGGCAGUAUCGUAGCCAAUGAGGUUUAUCCGAGGCGCGAUUAUUGCUAAUUGAAAACUUAACAGUGUGAGAAUAUUUUUUUUCUGUAACAUAACAUCAUUUACUAUAAAAUGCUAAUAGGUUUUGCUAAUGACAUACUACUAAGGACA